CGAGCAAGACAGAUGAUCGCGUCUUUUUGACGAGGAAAGUCCGAGCACCACAGGGCAGGGUGCUGGGUAACACCCAGUGGAGGCGACUCCAAGGAUAGUGCAACAGAGAUAUACCGCGUCCUUCGGGACGUAAGGGUGGAAAGGCGAGGUAAGAGCUCACCAACGGCUUGGCGACUUGUCCGUUCUGUAAACCCCACCUGGUGCAAGAUUGAUAGCGGAGCAUUUUGCGGCGGCCCGCCCGCUCCCAUGUAAUCGCUGGAGCCCGUUGGUAACUUCGGGCCUAGAUAGAUGAUCAUCCUAUGACAGAACUCGGCUUAUGGCUUGUCUCGCAAG
RNAcentral lists this RNase P RNA (333 nucleotides) under Gehongia tenuis. RNAcentral describes it as "Bacterial RNase P class A". It matches the Rfam family "Bacterial RNase P class A". From Rfam's summary of the family: Ribonuclease P (RNase P) is a ubiquitous endoribonuclease, found in archaea, bacteria and eukarya as well as chloroplasts and mitochondria. Its best characterised activity is the generation of mature 5'-ends of tRNAs by cleaving the 5'-leader elements of precursor-tRNAs. Lineage: Bacteria; Bacillati; Bacillota; Clostridia; Christensenellales; Christensenellaceae. The record is from Rfam by way of RNAcentral.